This 330-nucleotide ribosomal RNA is filed under the name Vibrio cholerae. RNAcentral describes it as "partial 23S ribosomal RNA". It matches the Rfam family "Bacterial large subunit ribosomal RNA", at positions 226 to 604 of the family's 2925-position model. The record is from RNAcentral. Lineage: Bacteria; Pseudomonadati; Pseudomonadota; Gammaproteobacteria; Vibrionales; Vibrionaceae.
CAACCGAGAUUCCGGUAGUAGCGGCGAGCGAACCUGGAUUAGCCCUUAAGCACUCGGUGAAGUAGGUGAACAAGCUGGAAAGCUUGGCGAUACAGGGUGAUAGCCCCGUAACCGACGCUUCAUCGAGCGUGAAAUCGAGUAGGGCGGGACACGUGAUAUCCUGUCUGAAUAUGGGGGGACCAUCCUCCAAGGCUAAAUACUCCUGACUGACCGAUAGUGAACCAGUACCGUGAGGGAAAGGCGAAAAGAACCCCUGUGAGGGGAGUGAAAUAGAACCUGAAACCGUGUACGUACAAGCAGUAGGAGCACCUUCGUGGUGUGACUGCGUAC